This 403-nucleotide ribosomal RNA is filed under the name Enterobacter hormaechei. RNAcentral describes it as "partial 23S ribosomal RNA". It matches the Rfam family "Bacterial large subunit ribosomal RNA", at positions 120 to 563 of the family's 2925-position model. The record is from RNAcentral. Lineage: Bacteria; Pseudomonadati; Pseudomonadota; Gammaproteobacteria; Enterobacterales; Enterobacteriaceae. RNAcentral also lists the same sequence under 2 other names.
GGGGAAACCCAGUGCAAUCCGUUGCACUAUCGUUAACUGAAUACAUAGGUUAACGAGGCGAACCGGGGGAACUGAAACAUCUAAGUACCCCGAGGAAAAGAAAUCAACCGAGAUUCCCCCAGUAGCGGCGAGCGAACGGGGAGCAGCCCGGAGUCUGAAUCAGCUUGUGUGUUAGUGGAACGGUCUGGAAAGUCCGACGGUACAGGGUGAUAGUCCCGUACACGAAAAUGCACAUGCUGUGAACUCGAAGAGUAGGGCGGGACACGUGGUAUCCUGUCUGAAUAUGGGGGGACCAUCCUCCAAGGCUAAAUACUCCUGACUGACCGAUAGUGAACCAGUACCGUGAGGGAAAGGCGAAAAGAACCCCGGCGAGGGGAGUGAAAAAGAACCUGAAACCGUGUAC